Molecule: long non-coding RNA, 883 nt
Filed under: Vulpes vulpes (red fox)
Lineage: Eukaryota; Metazoa; Chordata; Mammalia; Carnivora; Canidae
Description: lncRNA (ENSVVUG00000010930.1)
Source: RNAcentral
CUGCUGCCUGCCUCUGCCACGUGCACCUGCCACGUGCACAUGCCGCCUGCACCUGCCGCCUGCACCUGCCGCCUGCACCUGCCGCAGCACACUCGCUGCAGGCGGCCCCUUCAGGGCAGGAGUGGAACCGGUGCCCCAACCCCUCCACCGCCNUGCACCUGCCGCAGCACACUCGCUGCGGGCGGCCCCUUGAGGGCAGGAGUGGAACCGGUGCCCCAACCCCUCCACUGCCCCGCCCCGGGGCUCUAAGCCUGCGGGUGGGAAACCGCUGAGCCGCGGGCGCGGGCACGGGGGCCGCAGGGGAUGGGAGCUGCGGCGGCAAAGGGACAAGGGUCCAGGGAAGAGCCCUCCCCUGUGAGCAGCACCGCGGCAGCUGCCUCGGGACUAAGUCCACGCUCCUUCAGAAGGUCGCGCGCCGUGACCUUAGAGACGCGGCCCUGUGCCCCGCUGGCUGCCCGGCACCUGCGGAGGGGGAUGCGCUGGCGUCGCGCCCACGGGGACGGGGUGGGGCUGGAAGCGAGGAAGUGGGGCCACAGGCGGCACGCGGUCCGGGGCCCUGAGCCCGGGGACCCCGGCAGGUGCUGCCUCUCCCAGGUGAACUCUGUGAACUAGUUCCUGCAAGCUAAAUUGUUAAAUUGCUGAGCGGUUGGGGAGUUUGCAGCAGGGAUAAAAGAAUAGAGACAACAAAAUGACAUUCACUCAAGACAGCCAGUAGAGCCUGAAGGUUGAUUUUUUUUGGAUAUAACCAUGGCAAGGGCCUUGUAUUUAGAAAAGCCAAAAAGAAGAUUAAAAUAAGCCUAUCUAUUUGCUUGCAUGUCUUUUCUCUUGCUAGAGUGUUGUGUGUGUUGUAAUGUAAAUACUACAAUAGGAAACACCAUAUAGU